This 537-nucleotide ribosomal RNA is filed under the name Triticum aestivum (bread wheat). Its description in RNAcentral is "partial small subunit ribosomal RNA". The record is from RNAcentral. Lineage: Eukaryota; Viridiplantae; Streptophyta; Magnoliopsida; Poales; Poaceae.
CACCCCCUCCCCCUCCCCCUCCCCCUCCCCCAGCAGCCGCCGCAAGAGAGNNCAGGGACGCACCGAAUCCGUCUCUUUCUUCCUCGCGGGGUCGUCUCCGACUCCGAGGCCUCCGACAUGGCGAACGCUGCGUCGGGCAUGGCUGUGGACGACGAAUGCAAGCUCAAGUUCCUGGAGCUGAAGGCGAAGCGAACCCACCGCUUCAUCAUCUACAAGAUAGACGACAAGAAGAAGAUGGUUGUUGUGGAGAAGGUCGGCGAGCCUGCCCUGAACUACGAGGAUUUUGCUGCUAGCCUCCCCACCAAUGAAUGCAGAUACGCGAUAUUCGACUAUGACUUUGUCACCGAGGAGAACUGCCAGAAGAGCAAGAUAUUCUUCGUCGCAUGGUCUCCUGACACUGCACGCGUGAGGAGCAAGAUGAUCUACGCGAGCUCCAAGGAGAGGUUCAAGAGGGAGCUCGAUGGCAUCCAGGUGGAGCUCCAGGCGACAGACCCGACCGAGGUCGGCUUUGAUGUGAUCCAAGGCCGUGCCAACUGA